RNAcentral lists this ribosomal RNA (258 nucleotides) under uncultured archaeon. RNAcentral's name for it is "partial 16S ribosomal RNA". It matches the Rfam family "Archaeal small subunit ribosomal RNA", at positions 748 to 1009 of the family's 1478-position model. The record is from RNAcentral.
UAGGCGUAAAUGAUGCGAGUUAAGUGUGGGGGCAUCUACGAGAUGGCCCUGUGCUGUAGGGUAGCCGUUAAACUCGCUGCCUGGGGAGUACGGUCGCAAGGCUGAACUUAAGGAUUGGCGGGGGAGCACCACAACGGGUGGAGCCUGCGGUUUAAUUGGACUCAACGCCGGGAAGCUCACCGGAUAAGACAGCGGAAUGAUUGCCGGGCUGAAGACCCUGCAUGACCAGCUGAGAGGAGGUGCAUGGCGUAGUCGUGU